This is a transfer RNA of Penicillium brasilianum, 72 nucleotides long. It matches the Rfam family "tRNA". From Rfam's summary of the family: Transfer RNA (tRNA) molecules are approximately 80 nucleotides in length. Their secondary structure includes four short double-helical elements and three loops (D, anti-codon, and T loops). Further hydrogen bonds mediate the characteristic L-shaped molecular structure. tRNAs have two regions of fundamental functional importance: the anti-codon, which is responsible for specific mRNA codon recognition, and the 3' end, to which the tRNAs corresponding amino acid is attached (by aminoacyl-tRNA synthetases). tRNAs cope with the degeneracy of the genetic code in two manners: having more than one tRNA (with a specific anti-codon) for a particular amino acid; and 'wobble' base-pairing, i.e. permitting non-standard base-pairing at the 3rd anti-codon position. Lineage: Eukaryota; Fungi; Ascomycota; Eurotiomycetes; Eurotiales; Aspergillaceae. The record is from Rfam.
UCCGAAUUGGUGUAGUGGCUAACAUCGUCGUCUCUCACACGACAGCCAGGGGUUCGAUUCCCCUAUUCGGAG